Molecule: small RNA, 58 nt
Filed under: Caenorhabditis elegans
Lineage: Eukaryota; Metazoa; Nematoda; Chromadorea; Rhabditida; Rhabditidae
Description: Unclassified non-coding RNA Y24D9A.12
Source: RNAcentral
AUUUCUGAAAAAAGUAUUUUUUCGAAAUAAUUGGCUAAAAAUUUGAUUUUUUGAAAAU